UAGGGAAUCUUCGGCAAUGGACGAAAGUCUGACCGAGCAACGCCGCGUGAGUGAAGAAGGUUUUCGGAUCGUAAAACUCUGUUGUUAGAGAAGAACAAGGACGUUAGUAACUGAACGUCCCCUGACGGUAUCUAACCAGAAAGCCACGGCUAACUACGUGCCAGCAGCCGCGGUAAUACGUAGGUGGCAAGCGUUGUCCGGAUUUAGUGGGCGUAAAGCGAUCGCAGGCGGUUUCUUAAGUCUGAUGUGAAAGCCCCCGGCUCAACCGGGGAGGGUCAUUGGAAACUGGGAGACUUGAGUGCAGAAGAGGAGAGUGGAAUUCCAUGUGUAGCGGUGAAAUGCGUAGAUAUAUGGAGGAACACCAGUGGCGAAGGCGGCUCUCUGGUCUGUAACUGACGCUGAGGCUCGAAAGCGUGGGGAGCAAACAGG
Molecule: ribosomal RNA, 429 nt
Filed under: Gemmatimonadota bacterium
Lineage: Bacteria; Pseudomonadati; Gemmatimonadota
Description: Gemmatimonadetes bacterium partial 16S ribosomal RNA
Rfam family: Bacterial small subunit ribosomal RNA
Source: RNAcentral